This 253-nucleotide ribosomal RNA is filed under the name uncultured bacterium. RNAcentral's name for it is "partial 16S ribosomal RNA". It matches the Rfam family "Bacterial small subunit ribosomal RNA", at positions 524 to 776 of the family's 1533-position model. The record is from RNAcentral.
GACGAACCGUGCGAACGUUGUUCGGAAUCACUGGGCUUAAAGGGCGCGUAGGCGGCCGAGUGGGUCGUGGGUGAAAUCCCCCAGCUUAACUGGGGAACUGCCUACGAUACCGCCCGGCUCGAGGGAGGAAGGGGCGGCCGGAACUGUCGGUGUAGCGGUGAAAUGCGUAGAUAUCGAGAGGAACACCUGCGGCGAAGGCGGGUUGCUGGGCUGAUACUGACGCUGAGGCGCGAAAGCCAGGGGAGCGAACGGG